Molecule: non-coding RNA, 10044 nt
Organism: Taeniopygia guttata (zebra finch)
Lineage: Eukaryota; Metazoa; Chordata; Aves; Passeriformes; Estrildidae
Source: RefSeq, a predicted model, not a curated record
CACUAUCUGCUUUGUAAAAUGUCACUCUCCAUCUUUUUUUAAAAGCUCCCUUUAAGUACUGAAAAGCUUCAAUGAGGCCUCCCUGGAGCCUUUUCUAACUAGGAGUGUUAACUUUAGUAUUUUAAUGCCAUCAAUAGAAAAAUGUGUGUUGAACAUAGAGAAAUGUUAACCUUCUGUUGACUUCAGUCAGGUAAGUUUUUUCUGUGUAUUGAGUCAUUGAAACCUGUUUACUGGUAGCUUUUUGGUGUGGGGAAAUUUGUUCUUUCACUGAGGAAAGUGCCAGUCCUCAUGCUCAGUCUUUGUGAGGAAAGCUUAGGUCAGUGAUGAGAUUGAGCCCAGUAGUGUGCAGACCAGGGGAUGGCCUCUGAGGUGUGAAGCAGUAUCUUCUGUAUGGGGAACCUGUUCUUGCAUUGGUUGAGUUUCUUAGUGGGUGGUGCUAGAGAACUGGGGUUGUGUUGGGCUGAAGCUCUCAUGGAUACUCUCUGGUCAUCUGUUGGAAGCUGCAGCUUUCCUAUUUUCAAGUGACUGCUGAGAUUACAAGUUCCUCAUUUAAUCUGAAGCAGAAACAGCUUAACUUGAGUGGCAGACCCCCUACCAGAGGCAGGUGCUCCUACCACCCUGUAAGCCUAUGACUGCCUCAGAGGAGCUGGAUGACCCAGAGUGUUCAGGGAAGCAUUUCCAGGUUUGGCAGUCAAUACUCCUUCCCACCAAGAGUGACUGGUGUCUCCUGUGGCCUGUCAAGCAGCUGUGCUGAAACUGCUGUACAAUACAAGCCACUGUCUUUAAAGCCAUAGUCUUCUCUGUUGACAGUGUUAGUGGGGACUAUUUUCAUCAUGUCUUUUCACUCUUCUGGGAAGACAACCACAAACUGGUAGAGCUUCUUGACCGGUGACCUGUUCUUGUUUGGUCCCUUAGUGUGAGGAGCUGAUAGGUUUUUUAACAGAAGUAAUUCUAAAUGCCUUUUGCCCCUCAUAGCAGGAGUGAGAGGACACAGCAAAGUAUCUGAAUCUUUCUCUGUACCUUGCUAACACUGCCAAUGGAUGAACUGUGCACUUCUUUGCUACUGCAGCCCUCCCUAAAUGCUGUCAGAUGAAAGGAAAACUGGCUGGUCCCAUAGUGCAUGGAAGAAUGGCAAUGUCACCUUCUCCACUGGACAGUGUGUCUCUCAGAGGAUUUUUACACUCUGAAGUCAUCUGGGUUGUCUGCAUUUCUGGUUAUGGACUCCGUGAGUUGUGCUGCAUCAUUACAACCAGAACCAUUUGCUGGAGUUUGCCAGGUGCCAGAACCUGGACUGGGAGAGCUUUCCUUCAGGCACAGACUGCACAAUCCUCCUCUUAAAUGUUCUGGUUUUUACAACCCCUCAGUGUUUGUCAAGAAGCUGUUGCUGUUUGAGUGUACUUUGACAUCGUACUUGAGUUAAUCUUCUUUGGCUUUAUCCUUUAAGUCAGCCUUUUGACGAAGUCUGGGGGCCAGGUUUAAUCUUAGAUGGUUCUUGCUCUUUUUCUAGUCAGCAACUUAAAAUUGUCUGUUUUCUUCCUGUGGUGCACGUGUGUUUAAGCCAGGAUUACAGGAAAGCCCAGUGCAAACAGACAGAGGACAUUUGAUUGCCACUACCCUCCCCUGGCUGCCUUCUGAGGGAUUUUGGAAGUAUUUUGGGGUCCCUAAGAGUAUGUGGACUACAGCUACAAUAGAAAGGAUGUGAGUUUGUCAAUAGACUUGAUAAAAAAAUAUUAGAAAUCCACAUGGUUAGGGCUGUUUGAUUUGCGGGCAGCCUCUGGCAGUAUAGAGGAGUCAAGCAAGCUCAUGCAAAAGUUGUGGUGUGCCUUUAGCUGUGCCAGAAAGCAAGUUCUUUCUUAAGGUAAAAAGGCCUUUAAAUCUGCUUUUAACAGAUUUCUGUGGUGUUUCUUAGCCAACAACACUGCACAGAAAUCACUGCAGCCCGGGGAUUUGUACAAAUCACAGGCUUCUCUUCAACUCUUAGAGUUGAAUAUGUAUCUUAAUAUUUUGGUUGAUCAUGCUUUUUCUUGAAUGUUUUGACAUUUAAAACCUUUACACAAAAAUAGAAAUAGGUGAGAAUAGAAAAAAACUCCACUCUUUCAAGUUUAAAAUAAUGCUUCAUUUUUUAAAAGAGCUGUGGAACACAGAGAUUUGUACUUUUUCUUGUCAAAAUUAGCUACAAGUCUCCUUGGAAAAUCAGUCAAAUAUAUUGAAUAUAUACAUGUGUGUGGGGGGGAUGGCUGCUGUUGUUACGAAAACUUUGAGCAAGCUAACACUGCACUUCCUUAUCAGAUGCCCCAGAAAUGUUUGGCAUUGAAGGAAGUAGGCAGCAGUGGAUGAGUGAAUGUGGGGUCCUUGAAUAAUUGACAGAGGAGGAAAAAGGAGGAUUAAGCCCAUGGCUGCUUUGCCAGUUUCCAUUAUUUGAGGAAUGUGCUUUAAAGUGAUAGGUCCUAAACUUCUCUGAUAUCUUGAGAAUUUUAUUAAAAAGAGUGUCUAAGAGCUACUAAACUUUCUUAAAAUUGCAAUUGGUAUGUAGAUAUCUUCAAGGUACGGGGCUCAGAUCCUUCACUCAUUGCUCCAAAACUAAGUUUAAGAAGUAUUUUUUGCAAAGCCAGUCUUGGAAGAAAUGUUCUUUUCUUCAUCUCCCUCUCUUCAUCUCUCAUCUUCUUAGGUAAAUGACAAAUUCUUAAGACUUAGCUAACAGAGGAGAGAUGGAAAUCGUUCUCCAUGAUAACUGAAUGCUUGAAAUACAAUGUUCAACUUAAAUCUGUAGAAAAAAAUCCUUGAGAAAUUUUUGAAAUGUAGUUCUGUAAUUCCUGCUUUGUCACAGAGACUGUUUUGUGUGAAUUGUGUGGUGUUUGGAAUGUUGGCUCAAUUUUUUCUAAUCUAUAGGGCAUUUUCUAGGGGUCACGAUGGGUUUAGUAAUCGCAUCCACCACAGACCGUGAUCGUGCUGAGCAGCAGUGAUGGCACGUAGUUCAAAGUCUCUUUCCCAACUCUCUGCCGUGGUGUCAGGGUGAAUGUAGGCAAACAGUGCCUUGCUGGGGCUGUGCCUCGUCCAGCUGUGUCGCCUGCAAUGCCUGGGUGCAUGUGAGCUGACUUCAGAAGAGCUUUGUUGGCUUUCCUGUGAUUUCAAAACCAACCUUCAGCAAAUAUGUUUACUUUAUAUUCUGCUCCUCUCUUUUUUCUUUUUUCUUUCUUUUUUUUUUUUUUUUUGGAUGCCCUAUUUCUUGCUCCUUUUUGUGUUUUGUUCUGAGCAUGCUUGCGAGCCUGUGUUUUACAUGUCGCAAAACUGUAAAAUUGUGAAUUAUCUCAUUGUUUUAAGCUAGCAGCGGACAGGAAGAAAGUGGAAAAUACUGAAUAGGCAGCAUAUUGCUGCAUAGGCAUUUAAUGUUGUUACAGUGUGAUAUAAGUUAAAAUAUUGCUUAUUUCCUCUUUGCUGUUCAAAACAACCUGGAGCAUGUUAUGACCAGGAUAUAAACAAUAACUGAAAAAGUAAAAACAAAUGUUUUAACAGAGAAAGGCAUGGCCUGCCAAAUACUCUGGGUAAUUUAUGAUUACAUGAAUAAUCAACAGACAAAAUACUUGAAAACGCCUGACUUUAUGGGGGAAGACCUUAAUUUCUUUUUAAAACCAAAUGAAAAUGUGCAAAAAUUCCCUGCAAUAUCUUCAAAACUGAAAAGAAUCCAAAAAUUAAGCACGAGCAGCAAGGGCUUCAGUGUUUCCUGCAGUGGCCAGCUGUUUAACUGUAUUAGCUGUAUUUAGCUAUUUCCAGAUCUGUGGAAAUAAACCAAAUAUAUAUCAAUGACGAAUCAUUAUAAAAUUUCAUAAACAAAGUUGACUAGAUAAUAUUGGGAAACAGGCUUCAGUAAACAUGCUUUCUUUUUUUCUUGUUUCAUCCUUAUUUUUAAAGAGGGCUUUAUGUGACCCACAGAAUAAAUAACUUCCUGUGUCUUGAUAGCUAUUACAAAUGACAGCUCCUACUGCUGACAUUCCUGCUAUUUUUAAUCAGAUCUAAGUUAAUGUCCUGUAAAUUUCAUUUAUUUAUUUAUUUAUUUGAAAUGAGUGCCCUAUUCUGACCAGCUCAGUUAAAGAGUUUGCACAUCUUUGGAGCUGCACAGGGGCUGCAUUGCUUCUCUGCCUGUCUGCAAGAGGCAGAACUAAACUGCAGUACUUGAAAGAAGCAAAAGCUGUUGGGAGACAAAUACUGAGCAAGUCCAUCUAGAGUAACUUAAAACUUCCGUCUUGCACCUCUGUGAAUUGAUUUACGGCAUUUUAGCUCUCAGUGUCAGCUGUGCUUUUGCCUUGAUAUGAUUUAAUGCAUAUCAGGGGAAAGCUGAUGGGAAGCUCCACUGCUUUCUUCAUCUUUGAGCAAAAGGAUGGGAGGCCCCUAGCAGGCCUUUUGAUUGGGAAUUUGACUGUUGCAGUCCUUAAAUCUGAAUAUUGAGGCUGGCAGGCUCAGGCUGCCCAGUUACACGUGGGCUUCUCUUCAAGGGGGAUUGUGGUGAAGAUGGUGAAGCUUGCCCCACGUGAAGACUGUGACCUCUAGGAGGAGGAAGCCUAAUCUGGAAGUUGAUAAGAGCUUUUUGGGUUUGAGGGAUUAGCAUAGAGGAGGGGAGGCUUUUCAAAAACAAUGUUUUCUUUUCUGAACUGAUAAGAGUGAUAGAAUGUACUCCCUGGGACACCUCCUGUUCCAGCUGGUUAAAAGGCACCUUAUGCCCAGAGCUUUCCUGUGUCGGGCUCUGUCCAGGGGAAUGGGAUGCUGAAUGAGGUCUGCUCUCUGAGCACCCGUGCUAAGACCAGUUUCUUUGUGUAUGUCAAAUGGAAAGAAAUAGUAAUGAGGGGUAAUUUAUUAGACCUAGUUGGUAGGAAAAAUCUAGCACUCAAAAUGUCUAACAAAGCUAGUUUUUGUGCAAGUGUCCCACUCUGGAAGCUGUCUUAUUUUGUGUUCAAUGGGGUUCUGCACCUCUAGCAGCAGAUGUGUAUGUAAAAGAUCUCAAGCCACAAUGGUGGUGCUAAUCUUCCUUUUCAUUGUCCUCAUUGUAAUACUUUACUGCUUAAAACAAGGACAUUUGGGUAUAGUAAUGAGUGCUGGUGCUCUUGGGCUUUACUCUGUUAAUUCCAUUCUUGUCAUUAAAAACAUGAUUUUUUUUCUUGUCCUUUUUACUUUUCUUGUUUGUGAAGGAGGAAAGCAAAUAAGUACAGAGCUGAUGAUUUAAGUCACUGUUGCCAGAUGACAUUCUAUGGGAAUGUGGACUUGCCAGUAUGUAGAUUGUAAAUAUUUAUUUGAUUUAAUAAGGGUCUCUUUAAGUACAGAGCACAGCCUACAGUAGAGAGGGACUAGGAAUGCUUCCAAAAUAGGUGUGAGGGAAGAAAUUUGCCUUAAGAUUUCCCUCCUCUGGGUGCUCAUCUUGAUCUGAAGAAUACUGCUCUGCCUCCCAUAACCUACUGAAAAUUGUGAGCCUGUCUGGGGAUAACUGUUCAGAGGUGGUGCUACAUGUUUUGCAAGAUUGGACAACUCUGGCUUUAUAAUACUGAGCAGAUGUCAUAAAACCCAGUGAUUCUUGAACUAUGGCCUGAAGAACAUCACAGAGAGCAGCAUCUGAGAGGAAGACGCUGGCAUGAACAGUGCAGCCACCCAACAGGAGUCUUUCAAGUCCCAAGGAAAUCAACUAAAAUCCCUUUUAAGUAUUAACCUUACCUUUUGAAAGAGGGUGGCUGCAAGUGGCCAGACAGUGGAGAGGUGCAGUGCACGCUGGAAUAUAGCCAAAGGCUGUCCUGAAAUUUGGAUGAGGGUUUUUUGCUGGCUUUGGAGUAGUAAAUUGUGUUACAUAAAAUCUGCUAGGCUGUGGGAGCAAACUUGAAUUGGAAAGAGCUCUCUUGAAGAGAGUGUGCUGGUGGUCUGACCUGCUUCUGUGGUGGGGGGAAAUAAGUACCAAGGCAAACUGUGUUCUAAGAAGCUGGGGAGAAACAUAAUGCCUAGUUUAUGUGGUGCCUUCUUGGGAUGUACAAAGAGGAGUAAUUGAAGAUGUAUAAUUGCUUCUUGUGAAUUUGGGGUAUAAAAACACAAAGAGAAAUGAACAAAUAUUGACUGUAUAAAGCAAUAUCCUUUACCUAUUUGCAUUAUGCAGGAGUUUAGAGAGAACUUGAAUAUGAUACUAUUUAAGCUAUUUUAAUAAAAAUGUAAGAAAUCAGUUUUUUUCUGCUACUGCUUUGUUAACAGGAAAAUUAUACUUUAUUUUCUUUUCAUGUUUAAGACAGAUAAAGAGUAAAUUGGCUAGAGGAAACAUAAAUAGUAAAACAGUGACUAUGUACUGGACUGCAUUCAGAUGCAAAAGAAACUGAGGGAAAGAGGAAUGUCACUUUCUUUUUUCCUCAGUUUCUCUUGUGUACUACAUCAACAUCAGAUAUUUACAACACUAGGUGAAAUUCAUGGUGUGGUUGUUAUUUUUAAGCUGACACUGUCCCCUUACAAAUAUGAAACCUUCAGCAUCUUAACCAUUAGAGGCACUAAAUAGUUUCUAAAGAUGAUUAAAGCCAAACAAAAUAUUCUACUUUGUUUUAGUUUUCUUUCAGUAGUUUGGGGGACUGUAUAAAUUCUGCUAGCAUAUCCUUGCACUUGUUUUAGUCAAAAUAAAGAUCAAAUCAUAGUGAGAUGUAGCUUAAGAUAUUGUUCAGCCUGUAAAUAAAAGGCUUUGCCCUUCUUUUCACAAGCCUUGCAGCUUCCUCAAGCCAGGGAUUUCCUGUGGGGCACAGCUAACCCUGCUGCAGAGGAAGCUUGCUGCUUUCAUUGACUCUUUGUUUCUGAAAAACUGAUAUUCAGUGACAUCCAUGACCACAGAAUGUGAGUCCUAUAGUCCUUUACUUGCUAAAUGAAAAGACUGACUCUGCUGUACUAAUACAAGUGUAAUAAGGAGAUAUAUUUCUUUUUUGUAUUCUAUGCAAAGGCUCAGUCAACGGAACUUUUUAUACUGUUGGUUCUGUACGUCCCCUUUGGUAUGUUGCUUCUCAAGGUGAGAAAUAUGGACAGCCUCGAGCUUCUCCAGGCAUGGCCAGCCCAUGGGCAGCACAGUGCAUGGGGAAAGUGCCAUGAGCAUAGCUCAUGUCUCCAGUACAUCCUGCUUUGCAUUACCUGCCUCACUUUUAACUCAUUUUCAACUGUUGUGGGCAGCACAUUGCUAGUAAAUCCAUCAGGUCCUGACAUUCAUUACAGCCCUUUAGGUUAUCAGUGGUUUUGUGGAAGCAAAUAGCCUUAAUUCGUGAAAAUGAACAUCUGCGGCUCCCUAGCAAAGUAACCAGCUGAAACCAAACAUACAGGUCUAGGUCUGCUUGUGCCUUUACCUAGACAAGUGUCAGAGAUCUGUUUUGGUCAUAAUGCAGGGAUUUUAGUUUGUAAAACUUAGGUGGCUUCUCAGGCAGGGAUCUUUACAGUUGUUCCACUUAACCAGUUUAAGCUUUUUGAGUAAUCCUAUCUGGGGUUUUUGAUUGUGGUUUUUUUCUUGGAAGUUCUCUGCAUGGUCUCAAAGGCUACCGCAAAAAAGCAACCCUAUUUUCUACUACAAUGUGCUUUCACCUCUGUAAUUUGCACUUAAGACCUUGGCCUACUUCUGACCUUAUUGCUUCUAAUUGGUAAGAACAUAUUUCCAGUGUUCCUUUUAAGAUGAUAUGCUAGUCUAAUUAGCAUUGAUAUAUUUAGCAUGUAUACACUUUUGUACCUCUUCAUUACAACUAACAAAUGUCAAUAAAAGGCAGUUUAGUUACAGAAAGAAAAAGAGCUGUGGGGAAAGAUUUCUAUAAACAGUGCUGUAGUCUUUGUGAUGAAUUGGGUGUAACAGUGGAGAGUGGCAGAGGUGAAGCAGGCUGUCUGUUAAACAGGAAACAAGUGAUUAACAUUUUUUGUCCUACUGAUCAUAAUUAUUCCCACUGGCUGAAAAAAAAAUAAACACUGCUUAGUCUUUUUACUGUAGCUGCAGAAUAAAAUUUGAGCUGUUAGUCAUUCUGGCAUUGUAUGGAUGAACUGCUACGUUAUUACUUAAUUUUUUUUUUCAGUUUAAUGAACUUUGCCUAUAAUUGUGAUUUGUGUUUUCCUUGCAAUAACCUGCUUUUGCUCUGCAUUUGAGGAUAGCUUUUCCUCAGGCCAUUAUGGCUGUGUGGUGCCUGCGUCCCUGCAGAGUCACAUUCCUGGCUGGUCACUGCAUUAGAGCUCACAGUGAAUAAUUGUAAAAGGGCUAUCUGCUCUCCAUGAUCACAGCAGGCUUCCUCAGGGCUUGAUGGACUACAGAUGAUUCCAAUGCUUUUAAUGCCUUUGAUGGGCACACCUUAGCAGUGGUGCUCACCUGGACUGCACUGUCAUUCUUUUGGUCUGGUGUUGGCAUUAUGCAGGUGUUCCCUCACCUUUCCUGAACAGAAGAUGGAGGCUUUUGUACGUGCAAUGGCAAUAUUUUGUAGGACUGGUUUGAAAGACUGAGUAUUUCCUUGACCUCUGAUGUUUUAUUAAUUGAGUUCCUUUACCGGCUUUUCUGUGAUAGCACCUGGUCUCUCAAGUUAAUCACAUGUCCUCCUGCUUUGCUGGUUUUGUGUUACUGACCUAAUUGCACAGGCUGCUUGUGAAGGCCAGAGAGAGUGCUUAAGGAGAGCAGAGAAAAAGCCUUAGUUUGAAGGGCAUUCUGACUUUGAGAUGUUCCUCUUCAGUGAGGUCUCCUUGUUGUCCUCCUGUGUCACUGAUGAACUCACUUCAUCAUGAGCUGUAUAUAUGCAUAUAUAUGUUUCAUAUUUGUGGAAAACAGAAAUGUUUAUUUACAAAUGUGGACCCCUUAUAUUUGUCAAACACUUGUUUUCCAUCUGUUGAAGUAGAAAGCUUGCAGCAUCAGUUUUGUAAAGGAAAUAUUAAAAUUUGUCUGGAUCACCAAAAAUAGUUAUCUCUGCUAUCUUUGAAAUUUUUUUAUUUGAUAUUUAUUUUUCUACACUUUACAACUUUUAAUGCUGUGAUAAAUGAAGCUGAUAAAUGAAGCCAUUGUCUAUCCUGAUGGCUAUUUGCCUUUUUUUUUUUUAAUGACACUGUGGUGCCUUCUUAUUGUUGCCUUUCUUUCAUCUUUGAAAAUGGAUAGAUUUUAGACAAACCUGUUGGCUGCCUUGGUUCCACAGAUGAUUUUACCAGAGGGAUGAAGGUGCAAAUUCAGCAAAUUUCAUUUAAAAAUCUCAUGUUUUUCAUUUGCAUUUUUUGUCCCUUUUUUCCCUAGCUGGUGUCAUGUAGUUUUCUUGGCUUUGGAAUCCUAGCAAAUGUCUAUGUAUUUGGUCUAUAUGAGUUGAUGAUACAUCAUGCCUGUAUUGUGCUCACAGAAAUACAUGUAGUUACGAAACACAGUAUUGACACUGAUGUAGGUGAUGGUUAACCUGGCUGUGGCCCUGUCUCUCUCUUGGAGGUACAGAAAAUGUAAGAGUGGUUAAAAGUUUUGGUUGAGAUCAUCAGAUGUGGAACAGUAUCCAGGUGUGUGCUUGCCCUGUGUGCACAUUUGACAUACUGUGAGCCUUGUUUAUGGUUUUUACUUUAAUUCUUCCAAAAUGCCUGUAGGGAGAGUAUGCAGUGUUAUCAUCUCAUUAGAAAUGUCCAAACUGCCAUUAUGGUAAUGUGCUUUCAAGAAGUCUGCCUAGGAUGUGGAAGAGGAUAUAGGGUAUGGCAAUUGGGAAAUACUCAAAUACAUGUCAAGAGAGUUGCCCACUCUGACAUGUAGUCAUGGACAGCCAAGUCUUAAACAUCAAUUUCUGAAGCUGGGUAUGCAUCUUCUGUUCCUGCAUGUUACCAUGAUCCAGAGAAGAACACUCCAGUGGUUAAGAAAUCCCCUCCCGUCCCCAGUGGCAGCAGGAUGCAACCUGGAGGAUGGCCAAGCACUUUCAGUGUUCAAAGUUUUUUUAGUCUGACAGCUAUGAGAAGGAAUCAUGGGAUAGUAUAAAUCUGUGAACUUGAAUGCAGAAUGUACAGGACUUAGAUUAAUGCCACUGACAUAUGGCCACAGGAAGCCCCUUUGUGUUCAGGAGAGAUGUAUAGCAA